AGCGGCGGACGGGUGAGUAACACGUGGGCAACCUGCCUAUGGAUCUGGGAUAACAGCGCGAAAGUGUUGCUAAUACCGGAUAAGCCCCCACCUUCACAUGAAGGAGAGGGAAAAGGCGAAAGCCGACCAUAGAUGGGCCCGCGUCCCAUUAGCUAGUUGGUAGGGUAACGGCCUACCAAGGCGACGAUGGGUAGCCGGCCUGAGAGGGUGAACGGCCACACUGGAACUGAGAUACGGUCCAGACUCCUACGGGAGGCAGCAGUAGGGAAUAUUGGGCAAUGGGCGAAAGCCUGACCCAGCGACGCCGCGUGAGCGAUGAAGGCCUUCGGGUCGUAAAGCUCUGUCUUCGGGGAUGAAGAAGUGACAGUACCCGAGGAGGAAGCCCCGGCUAACUACGUGCCAGCAGCCGCGGUAAUAC
Molecule: ribosomal RNA, 418 nt
Filed under: uncultured bacterium
Lineage: Bacteria
Description: bacterial SSU rRNA
Rfam family: Bacterial small subunit ribosomal RNA
Source: RNAcentral